RNAcentral lists this ribosomal RNA (245 nucleotides) under uncultured Deferrisoma sp. RNAcentral's name for it is "partial 16S ribosomal RNA". It matches the Rfam family "Bacterial small subunit ribosomal RNA", at positions 524 to 768 of the family's 1533-position model. Lineage: Bacteria; Pseudomonadati; Thermodesulfobacteriota; Deferrisomatia; Deferrisomatales; Deferrisomataceae. The record is from RNAcentral.
UACGGAGGGUGCAAGCGUUGUUCGGAAUUACUGGGCGUAAAGGGCGCGUAGGCGGCUAGGGAAGUCCGAUGUGAAAGCCCGGGGCUCAACCCCGGAAGGGCAUUGGAAACUCCCUGGCUUGAGUUCGGGAGAGGAGGGCAGAAUUCCCGGUGUAGGGUUGAAAUCCGUAGAUAUCGGGAGGAAAACCGGUGGCGAAGGCGGCCCUCUGGAACGAAACUGACGCUGAGGCGCGAAAGCGUGGGGAG